CCUACGGGCGGCAGCAGUGGGGAAUAUUGGACAAUGGGCGAAAGCCUGAUCCAGCCAUGCCGCGUGUGUGAAGAAGGCCUUCGGGUUGUAAAGCACUUUCAGUGGGGAAGAAAGCCUUGGGGCUAAUACCCUCGAGGAAGGACAUCACCCACAGAAGAAGCACCGGCUAACUCCGUGCCAGCAGCCGCGGUAAUACGGAGGGUGCGAGCGUUAAUCGGAAUUACUGGGCUUAAAGCGCGCGUAGGCGGUCUGAUAAGCCGGUUGUGAAAGCCCCGGGCUCAACCUGGGAACGGCAUCCGGAACUGUCAGGCUAGAGUGCAGGAGAGGAAGGUAGAAUUCCCGGUGUAGCGGUGAAAUGCGUAGAGAUCGGGAGGAAUACCAGUGGCGAAGGCGGCCUUCUGGACUGACACUGACGCUGAGGUGCGAAAGCGUGGGUAGCAAACAGGAUUAGAUACCCUGGUAGUC
RNAcentral lists this ribosomal RNA (465 nucleotides) under Vreelandella stevensii. RNAcentral's name for it is "partial 16S ribosomal RNA". It matches the Rfam family "Bacterial small subunit ribosomal RNA", at positions 338 to 795 of the family's 1533-position model. The record is from RNAcentral. Lineage: Bacteria; Pseudomonadati; Pseudomonadota; Gammaproteobacteria; Oceanospirillales; Halomonadaceae.